RNAcentral lists this ribosomal RNA (253 nucleotides) under uncultured bacterium. RNAcentral describes it as "partial 16S ribosomal RNA". It matches the Rfam family "Bacterial small subunit ribosomal RNA", at positions 524 to 776 of the family's 1533-position model. The record is from RNAcentral.
UACGGGGGGGGCAAGCGUUGUUCGGAAUUACUGGACGUAAAGCGCACGUAGGCGGCUUUGUAAGUUAGAGGUGAAAGCCCGGGGCUCAACUCCGGAAUUGCCUUUAAGACUGCAUCGCUAGAAUUGUGGAGAGGUAAGUGGAAUUCCGAGUGUAGAGGUGAAAUUCGUAGAUAUUCGGAAGAACACCAGUGGCGAAGGCGACUUACUGGACACAUAUUGACGCUGAGGUGCGAAAGCGUGGGGAGCAAACAGG